AGUGAACGCUGGCGGUAGGCCUAACACAUGCAAGUCGAACGGCAGCACAGUAAGAGCUUGCUCUUACGGGUGGCGAGUGGCGGACGGGUGAGGAAUACAUCGGAAUCUACUUUUUCGUGGGGGAUAACGUAGGGAAACUUACGCUAAUACCGCAUACGACCUACGGGUGAAAGCAGGGGAUCUUCGGACCUUGCGCGAUUGAAUGAGCCGAUGUCGGAUUAGCUAGUUGGCGGGGUAAAGGCCCACCAAGGCGACGAUCCGUAGCUGGUCUGAGAGGAUGAUCAGCCACACUGGAACUGAGACGCGGACCAGACUCCUACGGGAGGCAGCAGUGGGGAAUAUUGGACAAUGGGCGCAAGCCUGAUCCAGCCAUGCCGCGUGGGUGAAGAAGGCCUUCGGGUUGUAAAGCCCUUUUGUUGGGAAAGAAAAGCAGCAGGUUAAUACCCCGCUGUUCUGACGGUACCCAAAGAAUAAGCACCGGCUAACUUCGUG
This 492-nucleotide ribosomal RNA is filed under the name uncultured bacterium. RNAcentral's name for it is "partial 16S ribosomal RNA". It matches the Rfam family "Bacterial small subunit ribosomal RNA", at positions 29 to 507 of the family's 1533-position model. The record is from RNAcentral.